This 459-nucleotide ribosomal RNA is filed under the name uncultured bacterium. RNAcentral's name for it is "partial 16S ribosomal RNA". It matches the Rfam family "Bacterial small subunit ribosomal RNA", at positions 338 to 795 of the family's 1533-position model. The record is from RNAcentral.
CCUACGGGGGGCAGCAGUGAGGAAUAUUGGUCAAUGGCCGGAAGGCUGAACCAGCCAAGCCGCGUGAAGGACGAAGGUGCCAAGCAUUGUAAACUUCUUUUGUCAAGGGACAAAAUCAGGCUCGAGAGCCUGACCGCGGGUACUUGAAGAAAAAGCAUCGGCUAACUCCGUGCCAGCAGCCGCGGUAAUACGGAGGAUGCGAGCGUUAUCCGGAUUUAUUGGGUUUAAAGGGUGCGCAGGCGGAGGUGCAAGUCAGCGGUCAAAUUGCGGGGCUCAACCCCGUACUGCCGUUGAAACUGCAGCCCUUGAGUGCGCGAGAAGUAUGCGGAAUGCGUGGUGUAGCGGUGAAAUGCAUAGAUAUCACGCAGAACUCCGAUUGCGAAGGCAGCAUACCGGCGCGCAACUGACGCUCAUGCACGAAAGCGUGGGUAUCGAACAGGAUUAGAUACCCCGGUAGUC